RNAcentral lists this ribosomal RNA (466 nucleotides) under uncultured bacterium. Its description in RNAcentral is "partial 16S ribosomal RNA". It matches the Rfam family "Bacterial small subunit ribosomal RNA", at positions 28 to 507 of the family's 1533-position model. The record is from RNAcentral.
GACGAACGCUGGCGGCGCGCCUAACACAUGCAAGUCGAACGAGCGAGAGAGAGCUUGCUUUCUCAAGCGAGUGGCGAACGGGUGAGUAACGCGUGAGGAACCUGCCUCAAAGAGGGGGACAACAGUUGGAAACGACUGCUAAUACCGCAUAAGCCCACGACCCGGCAUCGGGUAGAGGGAAAAGGAGCAAUCCGCUUUGAGAUGGCCUCGCGUCCGAUUAGCUAGUUGGUGAGGUAACGGCCCACCAAGGCGACGACCGGUAGCCGGACUGAGAGGUUGAACGGCCACAUUGGGACUGAGACACGGCCCAGACUCCUACGGGAGGCAGCAGUGGGGAAUAUUGCACAAUGGGGGAAACCCUGAUGCAGCGACGCCGCGUGGAGGAAGAAGGUCUUCGGAUUGUAAACUCCUGUUGUUGAGGAAGAUAAUGACGGUACUCAACAAGGAAGUGACGGCUAACUACGUG